Molecule: ribosomal RNA, 239 nt
Filed under: Mycobacterium tuberculosis
Lineage: Bacteria; Bacillati; Actinomycetota; Actinomycetes; Mycobacteriales; Mycobacteriaceae
Description: partial 23S ribosomal RNA
Rfam family: Bacterial large subunit ribosomal RNA
Source: RNAcentral
CCGCGCGCGUAGGAAAUUUGUGGCGGGCUGUCCCUAGUACGAGAGGACCGGGACGGACGAACCUCUGGUGUGCCAGUUGUUCCGCCAGGAGCACUGCUGGUUAGCUACGUUCGGAAGGGAUAACCGCUGAAAGCAUCUAAGCGGGAAGCCUGUUCCAAGAUGAGGUUUCUCACCCCCUCGAGGGGGUAAGGCCCCCCACAGACCAUGGGGUUGAUAGGCCAGAACUGGAAGCGCGGUAA